Molecule: ribosomal RNA, 253 nt
Filed under: uncultured bacterium
Lineage: Bacteria
Description: partial 16S ribosomal RNA
Rfam family: Bacterial small subunit ribosomal RNA
Source: RNAcentral
UACGGAGGGGGCGAGCGUUAUUCGGAAUUAUUGGGCGUAAAGCGUCCGUAGGUGGUUUAGUAAGUCUGCUGUUAAAGCGCGGGGCUUAACUCCGUAUCGGCAGUGGAAACUACUAGACUAGAGUGUGGUAGGGGUAGAGGGAAUUCCCAGUGUAGCGGUGAAAUGCGUAGAUAUUGGGAAGAACACCGGUGGCGAAGGCGCUCUACUGGGCCAUAACUGACACUGAUGGACGAAAGCUAGGGGAGCGAAAGGG